UAGAUUGAAGCCAGUAGUUGAGUGUUUAGCUGUUAACUAAAAUUUCAUAGGUUUGACUCCUAUCAGUCUAG
This 71-nucleotide transfer RNA is filed under the name Cricetulus griseus (Chinese hamster). It matches the Rfam family "tRNA". From Rfam's summary of the family: Transfer RNA (tRNA) molecules are approximately 80 nucleotides in length. Their secondary structure includes four short double-helical elements and three loops (D, anti-codon, and T loops). The record is from Rfam by way of RNAcentral. Lineage: Eukaryota; Metazoa; Chordata; Mammalia; Rodentia; Cricetidae.